AUGAUUUCGGUGGGGGGUAUGUACGGUACUUGCUGAUUUUAUUAGGAAUCAUGAGGGUAGUUGUACGUGCUCCACUAUCCGAUGACACAAGUCGCGCUUGGGUUGACAAGCGGACAGAGACAAUUGAUCGUUGCUCGGGCGUGGUCGAUAGCACUACAUAUGUAAACCGUGUUUACCCUGAGUAACCAGUGAUCAUCAAGUCUAGUGUUGACGUUCAGUACUAGUGUCUACAUAUAAAACUUUGCAAGCUUGCGAUCGCCAGUGACGUUCACUUGGAACACCAGAGUUAGGACCGUUGGAGCUGCUGCGCCGCCGCCACCUGAGUGACGUGGGAGUGUUCAAAGAUCUAAUGGCUCCACAGCGCACAAAGAUCAAGCAUCCUCAAGGAGAAAUAUCGCGCUUGUGAAAAAAAGGACAAUCUUUCAAAGCAAGGUUAAAAGGUGGUGCAGAUCGAUCAAUCGAAUUUUGUCAGGAAAAUUAACAUAUGUGGGUGAAGACGAAACAAAAACAGCUGCCCAACAAUAUUAUGAUAAACAUAAACAUUAUAAAAAUAAAAAAUAAUAUGCAAA
This is a long non-coding RNA of Leptidea sinapis, 569 nucleotides long. RefSeq lists it as uncharacterized. The transcript has 2 exons. NCBI's taxonomy places the organism in Eukaryota, Metazoa, Arthropoda, Insecta, Lepidoptera, Pieridae. The record is from RefSeq and is a predicted model, not a curated record.